AACGAACGCUGGCGGCAUGCCUCAUACAUGCAAGUCGAACGAGAUUCUUCGGAUUCUAGUGGCGCACGGGUGAGUAACAUGUGGGAAUCUACCUGAAGGUUCGGAAUAACUGCGGGAAACUGCAGCUAAUACCGGAUGUGUCUGCAAAGAGAAAGAUUUAUCGCCUUCAGAUGAGCCCGCACUAGAUUAGCUAGUUGGUGAGGUAACUGCUCCACCAAGGCUCCGAUCUAUAGCUGAUUUGAGAGGAUGAUCAGCCACACUGGGACUGAGACACGGCCCAGACUCCUACGGGAGGCAGCAGUAGGGAAUAUUGGACAAUGGGGGAAACCCUGAUCCAGCAAUGCCGCGUGAGUGAAGAAGAGCCUUCGGGUUGUAAAGCUCUUUCAUCAAUGAUGAUAAUGACAUUAGUUGAAGAAGAAGCCCCGGCUAACUUCGUGCCAGCAGCCGCGGUAAUACGAAGGGGGCUAGCGUUGUUCGGAAUCACUGGGCGUAAAGCGUAUGUAGGCGGAUCAAAAAGUUAGAUGUGAAAUCCCUGGGCUCAACCCAGGAACUGCAUUUAAAACUAGUGAUCUAGAAUUUGGUAGGGGCCAGUAGAAUUUCCAGUGUAGAGGUGAAAUUCGUAGAUAUUGGAAAGAAUACCAGUGGCGAAGGCGACUGGCUGGGCCAUUUUUGACGCUGAGAUACGAAAGCGUGGGUAGCAAACAGGAUUAGAUACCCUGGUAGUCCACGCAGUAAACGAUGAGUGCUAGUCGCUGGGACAAUAGUUUCAGUGUCGAAGCUAACGCAUUAAGCACUCCGCCUGGGAAGUACGGUCGCAAGAUUAAAACUCAAAUAAAUUGACGGGGGCCCGCACAAGCGGUGGAGCAUGUGGUUUAAUUCGAAGCAACGCGAAGAACCUUACCAGACCUUGACAUGGUAUGUUUGAAUUACAGAAUCGUAAUUCUUCAGUUCGGCUGGCAUACACACAGGUGCUGCAUGGCUGUCGUCAGCUCGUGUCGUGAGAUGUUGGGUUAAGUCCCGCAACGAGCGCAACCCUCAUUUUUAGUUGCCAUCAGGUUAAGCUGGGCACUCUAAAAAAACUGCCGGUGAUAAGCUGGAGGAAGGCGGGGAUGACGUCAAGUCCUCAUGGCCCUUACGGUCUGGGCUACACACGUGCUACAAUGGUGGUGACAGUGGGCAGCAAUACUGCAAAGUAAAGCUAAUCCCAAAAAACCAUCUCAGUUCGGAUUGGACUCUGCAAACUCGAGUCCAUGAAGUUGGAAUCGCUAGUAAUCGUAGAUCAGCGUGCUACGGUGAAUACGUUCUCGGGCCU
Molecule: ribosomal RNA, 1312 nt
Filed under: uncultured bacterium
Lineage: Bacteria
Description: bacterial SSU rRNA
Rfam family: Bacterial small subunit ribosomal RNA
Source: RNAcentral